CUAUAACGGUCCUAAGGUAGCGAAAUUCCUUGUCGGGUAAGUUCCGACCUGCACGAAUGGCGUAAUGAUGGCCAGGCUGUCUCCACCCGAGACUCAGUGAAAUUGAACUCGCUGUGAAGAUGCAGUGUACCCGCGGCAAGACGGAAAGACCCCGUGAACCUUUACUAUAGCUUGACACUGAACAUUGAGCCUUGAUGUGUAGGAUAGGUGGGAGGCUUUGAAGUGUGGACGCCAGUCUGCAUGGAGCCGACCUUGAAAUACCACCCUUUAAUGUUUGAUGUUCUAACGUGGACCCGUGAUCCGGGUUGCGGACAGUGUCUGGUGGGUAGUUUGACUGGGGCGGUCUCCUCCUAAAGAGUAACGGAGGAGCACGAAGGUUGGCUAAUCCUGGUCGGACAUCAGGAGGUUAGUGCAAUGGCAUAAGCCAGCUUGACUGCGAGCGUGACGGCGCGAGCAGGUGCGAAAGCAGGUCAUAGUGAUCCGGUGGUUCUGAAUGGAAGGGCCAUCGCUCAACGGAUAAAAGGUACUCCGGGGAUAACAGGCUGAUACCGCCCAAGAGUUCAUAUCGACGGCGGUGUUUGGCACCUCGAUGUCGGCUCAUCACAUCCUGGGGCUGAAGUAGGUCCCAAGGGUAUGGCUGUUCGCCAUUUAAAGUGGUACGCGAGCUGGGUUUAGAACGUCGUGAGACAGUUCGGUCCCUAUCUGCCGUGGGCGCUGGAGAACUGAGGGGGGCUGCUCCUAGUACGAGAGGACCGGAGUGGACGCAUCACUGGUGUUCGGGUUGUCAUGCCAAUGGCACUGCCCGGUAGCUAAAUGCGGAAGAGAUAAGUGCUGAAAGCAUCUAAGCACGAAACUUGCCCCGAGAUGAGUUCUCCCUGAGACUUAAAGUCUCCUGAAGGAACGUUGAAGACGACGACGUUGAUAGGCCGGGUGUGUAAGCGCAGCGAUGCGUUGAGCUAACCGGUACUAAUGAACCGUGAGGCUUAACCUU
This 991-nucleotide ribosomal RNA is filed under the name Salmonella enterica subsp. enterica serovar Give str. S5-487. RNAcentral describes it as "LSU rRNA". It matches the Rfam family "Bacterial large subunit ribosomal RNA", at positions 1940 to 2925 of the family's 2925-position model. Lineage: Bacteria; Pseudomonadati; Pseudomonadota; Gammaproteobacteria; Enterobacterales; Enterobacteriaceae. The record is from RNAcentral.